RNAcentral lists this ribosomal RNA (253 nucleotides) under uncultured bacterium. RNAcentral's name for it is "partial 16S ribosomal RNA". It matches the Rfam family "Bacterial small subunit ribosomal RNA", at positions 524 to 776 of the family's 1533-position model. The record is from RNAcentral.
UACAGAGGGUGCAAGCGUUAAUCGGAAUUACUGGGCGUAAAGCGUGCGUAGACGGUUAUGUAAGUCGGGUGUGAAAGCCCCGGGCUCAACCUGGGAAUGCCAUUCGAGACUGCAUAGCUAGGGUGCGGAAGAGGGAAGCGGAAUUCCCGGUGUAGUGGUGGAAUGCGUAGAUAUCGGGAGGAACACCAGUGGCGAAGGCGGUUGCCUGGAGCUUUGCUGACGCUGAUGCGCGAAAGCGUGGGGAGCGAUCCGG